GCGCAGUACAGCCUGAGGGGGAGGAGAGCAAAAAAGCCUUUUCAGAACUUAACCCUUUGCAAAAUUAUAACGGAGGCCUGCAUGCAGAACUUCCCUGGCAAGAAGGUAGCUGAUAUUGAGGAGUGCAUUGGGCAUGCACUGAAGUUUGCACCACACAGACGGUCAGCUGGUCCUCAAGAUUGAAGACGUACACCAACUUCUAUGCACACGCACCCGUUUUUGGCA
Long non-coding RNA from Neoarius graeffei (lesser salmon catfish), 225 nucleotides. RefSeq lists it as uncharacterized. The transcript has 3 exons. NCBI's taxonomy places the organism in Eukaryota, Metazoa, Chordata, Actinopteri, Siluriformes, Ariidae. The record is from RefSeq and is a predicted model, not a curated record.